RNAcentral lists this ribosomal RNA (468 nucleotides) under Heterosigma akashiwo. RNAcentral describes it as "partial Bacterial large subunit ribosomal RNA". It matches the Rfam family "Bacterial large subunit ribosomal RNA", at positions 660 to 1126 of the family's 2925-position model. Lineage: Eukaryota; Raphidophyceae; Chattonellales; Chattonellaceae. The record is from RNAcentral.
GUGUAGGCGAAGCGAAAGCGAGUCUGAAUAGGGCGACUGAGUAUGUUGGAUUAGACCCGAAACCCGGCGAUCUAGGCAUGAGCAGGUUGAAGGUGCGGUAACACGCACUGGAGGACCGAACCGUUUAAUGUUGAAAAAUUAUCGGAUGACUUGUGUUUAGGGGUGAAAGGCCAAUCAAGCCGGGAAAUAGCUGGUUCUCCGCGAAAUCUAUUGAGGUAGAGCGUCAGAUGUAUGCCGAUGGGGGUAGAGCACUGGAUGGGCUAGGGCUGCGCGAGCGGUACCAAACCUAACCAAACUCCGAAUACCAUCGAGUCUUGUCUGGCAGACAGACGGCGGGUGCUAAGGUCCGUCGUCAAAAGGGAAACAGCCCUAACCUACAGCUAAGGUCCCCAAGUCAUAUCUAAGUGGGAAAGCAUGUGGGAAUCCCAAAACAACCAGGAGGUUGGCUUAGAAGCAGCCAUCCUUUUA